This 424-nucleotide ribosomal RNA is filed under the name uncultured bacterium. RNAcentral's name for it is "partial 16S ribosomal RNA". It matches the Rfam family "Bacterial small subunit ribosomal RNA", at positions 360 to 775 of the family's 1533-position model. The record is from RNAcentral.
AAUCUUCCGCAAUGGACGCAAGUCUGACGGAGCAACGCCGCGUGAGUGAUUAUGUUUUUCGUAUCGUAAAACUCUGUUGUUAGAGAAUAACACGUACCGUUUGAAUAAGGCGGUACCUUGACGGUACCUAACGAGAAAGCCCCGACUAACUACCUUCCAGCAGCCGCGGUAAUACGUAGGGGGCAAGCGUUGUCCGGAAUUAUUGGGCGUAAAGCGCGCGCAGGCGGUCUUUUAAGUCUGAUGUGAAAGCCCACGGCUCAACCGUGGAGGGUCAUUGGAAACUGGGAGACUUGAGUGUAGGAGAGGAAAGUGGAAUUCCACGUGUAGCGGUGAAAUGCGUAGAGAUGUGGAGGAACACCAGUGGCGAAGGCGACUUUCUGGCCUAUAACUGACGCUGAGGAACGAAAGCGUGGGGAGCAAACAG